UUAAAUGCCUCUCAAUAGGUAACUAAUUAAGUUGAAAAAUUGUUGUUAUUAUUAUUAUUAUUUUGCCAGACACAGUAACAGACUGUUUGCAUUUCAGGGGAAAAUGAAGUCCCAUCUGAAGAUGCACUAAUAUUGCAACUGCAGCUUGUAAAAGGGCAAGAGAAAUUUGUUGAAAUGCUAAAAAACCAGCAGAAGGUAAUUGUGGACUUGCAGCAAAAACUUAUUGAACAACAGAACACACUGGUUAGCCAGCAACGAGAAAUUCUUGAACAGCAAAGAAAAAUGUAUGAGCAAAUGGAUCUGAUAAAAGUCCAGUAUGGCAUGCUUUUCAACACAGUGAAACAAAUGUCAUUCCAGAGUUUGCAGGAAGAUAUUCAAAAUUAUUUUGAAGCUCAUCUUCAAGGACUUCAGAACCAAGUCAGAAAUCAUCUCCAGAAAUCAUACCCUGUGCAUAAAGUAGAAGUUGAUGCAAAAGUGAUUGAUGUUGGGGAAUCUUUGCUGGACUGUGGCCUUUGUGAAAGUGAUGAAUUUUGCAAUUUCCAAAAGACACCAUCACAAUGUGAAAAAUGCACCUUGUGCCCUGCUGGCUUUUUCCAAACGUCUGCAUGUUCUGCAAACACUGAUAGGAUUUGUCAGGACAGAGAUGAAUGCACUGAAUCUCCUAACAUUUGUGGUGAGAGGAUAAAAUGCCUGAAUACCCCAGGUGGCUUCCGAUGUCUUGGGAUUGCUGAAAGAGAUGCGGCCUUGGGAUUGUGUGGAGAGGAGUAUUUCUUUAACAGAGAAAUGCAGGAAUGCCAGGCGUGCUCGGAGUGCGAAGAUGGAGCGGUAGCUGUCCCUUGUUCUGCAGCCAGUGACACUGUUUGUUCAGCAGCCAGUGAAAACAAGCUUUCCGAAUCUUGGGCUGCAAACAUUAUUUUACCCUCAGGAAAAUAUGACCGCUCUCAGGUCUACCCUGGCUUAUACUUGAAAAUAAAUGGAAGGCUUCACUGUGAAAUUAUAUCAGUUGAAGAUAACUGCGUGGUAUUCAGACAGCAUGGUUUGAUGUGGACUGAUCUCAAUUUUGCUGUAAAGCACAACUGCAGAAACUUUCUUCAACUCUCCUUGAAACUAAACAACAGCGAGGAAGGCUAUGAACUGAGUGCUGUUCGUGUUGAGCAACCAGAAGGCAAAUAUUUCCAGAGCACGAGUUUAAGCAGUGCUGCAGAGGUAGAGCCAAGCCAAAUUCUCUCUGUGUUUCUGAGGAGUCCAAAUCAAUUCUGCAACCAAAGUAAAGACUUAAAUAUUUAUGAUCUUAAUACACCACUCAGUUUAUUUUGGUUAUCCCAUGAUACGGGUGCAGUGGCCAUGAGUGCGCAGAUGUCAACUGCAAUGCACUACCAAACUAACUAUCGACCAACUUUUAAAGUUAUUUCCGUUUCCGACCCUUACAUGCUAGGUUUGUCGCAUGAUGGCAGAGCUAUAAAGUUCACCGAAAUGGGUGUUGUCAAAUUUGUUUUUCAUCAAGCAUUGUAUUCCAUGGGCCACACAUGUGUUCGUGAAGGCUUUUCCUUAGUUUCAUACAUUAAUAGGAAUGGUACUAACAGAGAAUUAAUGAACAUAUUUAAGUCUGGUGUAAAUUAUAGAGACACCUCAAUAUCGGCCUCUCAGGCCACCAAAGUCAACGCUGGGGAUUUGAUUAGCUUUGAAAUACUUUCUCCUCCUCAAUGUAAUGUUCGGUAUUUUGGAGACAGCUCUGGGAUUAGUAUGUUCAGCCUCAUCUGGAUCCCAUCUGCAGUUUCCACUGCCAUAUCAGCUACAGUUUCUCUUACAGGUUUGCCUACAGGAGUGGUCAGAAACAAAUUAUUGUGUUUCACCCAAGUCUCCUCCCAUGAGAAACAAAUACAGUUGGUUUCUUCAGGACAACUGGCUCAGAAGUAUUUCACCUUUACAGAAAGGGGGAUUGCCAGUGUUGCUCUUAAUUUAAAGCUGAUCCACUCUUGCUAUAUACUCAAAAUGACUCUAAAUCAGUUGCUUAGAGAUCAGAUGCAACCCACAGCAAUUGCUCAGCAAAUUGGAGGUCAGAUGCCAGAGGGAAGCCUGUGGACCAGCGUGUCCCUCCGCUCUUCUUUUGAAGUGCAUAAUGGCACAUUGAUAUUUGUUUCUCUUGACUGUGUGCGUGGAAGGAUCAAUCAGAUUGCUCAUGAACAUGGAACCAGCAUAUCUAUUUUAUGGAUUUCAUCUUAA
Long non-coding RNA from Crocodylus porosus (Australian saltwater crocodile), 2223 nucleotides. NCBI's taxonomy places the organism in Eukaryota, Metazoa, Chordata, Crocodylia, Crocodylidae. The record is from Ensembl.